RNAcentral lists this ribosomal RNA (497 nucleotides) under uncultured bacterium. Its description in RNAcentral is "partial 16S ribosomal RNA". It matches the Rfam family "Bacterial small subunit ribosomal RNA", at positions 28 to 507 of the family's 1533-position model. The record is from RNAcentral.
GAUGAACGCUGGCGGCGUGCCUAAUACAUGCAAGUCGAGCGAACAGACGAGGAGCUUGCUCCUCUGACGUUAGCGGCGGACGGGUGAGUAACACGUGGAUAACCUACCUAUAAGACUGGGAUAACUUCGGGAAACCGGAGCUAAUACCGGAUAAUAUAUUGAACCGCAUGGUUCAAUAGUGAAAGACGGUUUUGCCGUCACUUAUAGAUGGAUCCGCGCCGCAUUAGCUAGUUGGUAAGGUAACGGCUUACCAAGGCAACGAUGCGUAGCCGACCUGAGAGGGUGAUCGGCCACCCUGGAACUGGGACACGGUCCAGACUCCUACGGGAGGCAGCAGUAGGGAAUCUUCCGCAAUGGGCGAAAGCCUUACGGAGCAACGCCGCGUGAGUGAGGAAGGUCUUCGGAUCGUAAAACUCUGUUAUUAGUGAAGAACAAAUGUGUAAGUAACUAUGCACGUCUUGACGGUACCUAAUCAGAAAGCCACGGCUAACUACGUG